UCUCCUUCGGGGACAUCCAGAUAAAAUUGGAACAAUACAUAGAAGAUUAGCAUGGCCCCUGCGCAAGGAUGACACUAUUUUAUUUUAUUUUCCUUCCCUUUUU
Molecule: small nuclear RNA, 103 nt
Filed under: Nicotiana attenuata
Lineage: Eukaryota; Viridiplantae; Streptophyta; Magnoliopsida; Solanales; Solanaceae
Source: RNAcentral